ACUCCUACGGGAGGCUGCAGUGGGGAAUAUUGCACAAUGGGCGCAAGCCUGAUGCAGCAACGCCGCGUGAGGGACGAAGGCCUUCGGGUUGUAAACCUCUUUUAGUAGGGAAGAAGCGAAAGUGACGGUACCUGCAGAAAAAGCACCGGCUAACUACGUGCCAGCAGUCGCGGUAAUACGUAGGGUGCAAGCGUUAUCCGGAAUUAUUGGGCGUAAAGAGCUCGUAGGCGGUUUGUCGCGUCUGCUGUGAAAACUGGAGGCUCAACCUCCAGCCUGCAGUGGGUACGGGCAGACUAGAGUGCGGUA
This 306-nucleotide ribosomal RNA is filed under the name uncultured bacterium. Its description in RNAcentral is "bacterial SSU rRNA". It matches the Rfam family "Bacterial small subunit ribosomal RNA", at positions 335 to 653 of the family's 1533-position model. The record is from RNAcentral.